UAACAGAAAAAGGCUUGCGGGGCGGUCGGCAUUCCUCCGAAGGGAGGUGAUGCCGUGGAAGUAUACCAGACUUUGAUGCUGAUGAUUUCAUCAUUCCAUAAACGGAAAUAGACCGCCUCUGUGCAAGGGUUCGGUCUAUUCCGCACUCUUUGAAGCCGUCCGCUCUUUAAGCGGCUGUUACAUUGGAGUCAUGGGUCCAACAUGACUC
This 208-nucleotide small RNA is filed under the name Desulfosporosinus youngiae DSM 17734. RNAcentral's name for it is "BsrG". Lineage: Bacteria; Bacillati; Bacillota; Clostridia; Eubacteriales; Desulfitobacteriaceae. The record is from RNAcentral.